UGCCGCGUGCGGGAUGACGGUCCUAUGGAUUGUAAACUGCUUUUGUACGGGAAAAAACACUCCUUCGUGAAGGAGCUUGACGGUACCGUAAGAAUAAGGAUCGGCUAACUCCGUGCCAGCAGCCGCGGUAAUACGGAGGAUCCAAGCGUUAUCCGGAAUCAUUGGGUUUAAAGGGUCCGUAGGCGGUCUGGUAAGUCAGUGGUGAAAGCCCAUCGCUCAACGGUGGAACGGCCAUUGAUACUGCUGGACUUGAAUUACUGGGAAGCAACUAAAAUAUGUAGUGUAGCGGUGAAAUGCUUAGAGAUUACAUGGAAUACCAAUUGCGAAGGCAGGUUGCUACCAGUGGAUUGACGCUGAUGGACGAAAGCGUGGGUAGCGAACAGGAUUAGAUACCCUGGUAGUCCACGCCGUACACGAUGGAUACUAGCUGUUGGGAGCAAUCUCACUGGCUAAACGAAAGUGAUAAGUAUCCCACCUGGGGAGUACGUUCGCAAGAAUGAAACUCAAAGGAAUUGACGGGGGCCCGCACAAGCGGUGGAGCAUGUGGUUUAAUUCGAUGAUACGCGAGGAACCUUACCAAGGCUUAAAUGCAGACUGACCGAUUUGGAAACAGAUCUUUCG
This 621-nucleotide ribosomal RNA is filed under the name Flavobacterium sp. So3Pw_2826. Its description in RNAcentral is "bacterial SSU rRNA". It matches the Rfam family "Bacterial small subunit ribosomal RNA", at positions 395 to 1017 of the family's 1533-position model. Lineage: Bacteria; Pseudomonadati; Bacteroidota; Flavobacteriia; Flavobacteriales; Flavobacteriaceae. The record is from RNAcentral.